UGGCAAGAACUAGACACAGACUACUCAGAUAAAAUUUGAUUUCCUUUUAUCUCAACAAUUGACGGUGUAAUUCGUAUUAAAGUUCAUAGAAGGAUUCUAGGCCAUUCAAGCUGUACCUUACUCAACUUUGACAUAAUGUCGGAGCCUCCAGGGAUAAGUUGAAAAGCGCCAGCCUAAAGCUAUUCCAAAUUACACACUUUGGAACAGGGAUUUUGUAUUUUUUGCCAUGUUUUGGACGUUAGCUCUCCGAUAUUGUAACAAAUGGGACAUUUCAGUUACUACUCCGUAGAUAUAUUAAAAUUUUAAUCGGCAGCCCGAACAAAUUGUGGAUUUAUGCAGAGAUAUUUAGUGGUUUGAAGGAGCAAAUUAACGCAUGCAUCAUGGGGAUAUGUACAAAAGCUUAA
Molecule: long non-coding RNA, 404 nt
Organism: Dendroctonus ponderosae (mountain pine beetle)
Lineage: Eukaryota; Metazoa; Arthropoda; Insecta; Coleoptera; Curculionidae
Exons: 3
Source: RefSeq, a predicted model, not a curated record